AACUUCAGCAAAAGCCAAGGCAGCCAACAAAGGCUCAGCCACCUCAGCUGUGCCUCUGCGCUUGCGGGCGGCUCACCAGCCACCCUCUGAAGCAGAUCAUGCCAUCCUUUCUUUUUUAAAACCCAUGUCAUCAGCAGAUCAUAAUGGAAAUCAAUCUCCUCAAACCAUCAUGCAAAGGCAAAGGCGUAUCCAUAGCAACCCCAAAAGGAAGGACACAGAGAUGCUCCAGUGACUGCAGCAAAAAAAAAAAAAAAAAAAAAAAAAAAAAGGUGAGUUUGUUUCUCCUCUAUCCAUGCAUCUACCUCUGCUCGCCAGGGGCAGGCUCUGCCUGCAGAUCUCACCCACAACACCAAGUGGGAAAACUCAAGGUGAGCUAAGAACCCCCUGUAACACGGGGGUAUAGGAUGGGGGUGAGAGCAAGGUCUCGCUUCUUGGUUACAGUCUCAGGUGACUGUCUCAUCCUUUAUCUGACAAGCAGCCAACAGUCACUUAGCUUUCUAGUCAAGAUGCUGGGAAAUCACUUUAGCAUUUCAGAAUUCUCCUGUGGCAGCAACAGACCCCCCCACACACCUCCCUGCCCACUAAAUCUCUCCCUUCUCUGAUGCCUUGGGAGAAUGACUCCCAUUUCUUCAGAUACUCAUCAAACAUGAACGCUAAGCCUAACAAAGCCCUGUAUGCCUCAACUUUCCUUUCAAUAAAGCAGCAAUAUGCUCUGACAGGAUUGUUGUGCAAACCACAGGAGGGCUUGGCAGUUCAAAGCUGGCAUGGACCAUAUAGUGAGUUCCAUGCUACAGAGUGACACCUGUCUCCUGCCUCCUCUCUCUCACACACACACACACACAGAGUCUGACAGCACUUAAAACUGAGUAAAGCACUCAUUAAAAGGCAGCCACUAUCAUUAUGAUGAAGAUGAAGAGGCCUAUAAGCAUAGGACUCUAGCUCAGACAGGCUCCUCCACACUCCUGGGCAUGUCUAAGGCUCUUUCUCCUUACUCUGAUCAACUCUAUCUAGCUUCUCUCACCGUAUCCAAGCAUCUGUCUGAUGGAGUUCACACUGGCCACCUACCCCUCAGCCAACAACCUUGCAGAGAAAGGCAACUGAGACUCUUAGGUAAGAAUCCCUUUGCACCCACCAUUGCCUCUUUCUUCCUAAAUUCAUCCCUCCUCAUUCCUCUGCACCUCACCUCCUCUUCUGAGGACCUUCAUUUCAGAAGUACUGUCUGCCGGUUCUUACACAUCCCCACAAAAACCUGCCCUGGCCUCUUCAGUUCUAGGAACUAUUUCUAGUCCUCACCGUGUCCACAGAAUCUAUCCUUCCACCGUCUGCCAAACUGUGAGUCUGCAGCCCUCAGUGCCAUCAAGCCCUGCAUCUCCACACUGCUCCACUGGAGUCAGUCCCACUUUCAGAGUGAAAGCCCUGGUAACCAUGCCUCCUUGCCUCCCUCCUGCCCACCCUCGAAAUGUUCUCCUUUCUCACUUCCUGGGCAGCCUUGCUCACAUGCACAACAAUCCCCGACUCCUCUGUCUGCCCCUGCCUUCUGGAAGUGUGGCUGGAAGAAUCCAUCCCCCCUUUACCAACCGCCUUCUUCCACCAACCCUCGGCAGGGACUCUUCUGAAACACAUUUGUACCGGGCUGCUGGACAUCACAGACCACUCAGGUUCAACAUGCCCCAGCACGCCACAGUCUACCUAAGCUAGAUAACUGAGUCACCGUUAACAACCCCUUAUUUGGCUAAUUCUGCCGCCACAGCCUCUCUCCAAUUCAUGUGUCCUCUCCAUCCUGUUGGCCUGAUUUCAGUUCAGCCUUAAAACACUUCUGUUACACUGAGUCUCCCCGUUACAUCCAUUUUAAGUCCCCCAGUACCCUGGGCUCAGGCUCUACCCCUUCAGCUUCCUUCCACGGCCAGCUUCCCAAAACACAGUCAUGUUAUCCCUGUUCAAAGACUUCGGGUGCAGGCCAGUGGGGUGGCUCAACAGGUAAAUCUGCCACCAAAUCUAACAACUUGAGUUUGAUUCCAAGGACCAACAUGGUAGAAAGAACCAGCUCAUACAAGUAGUCACACACACACAUACACACACACACACACACACACACACACACAGAGAACAUAUAAUAAAAAAAAUGUUUUAUUAACUUCACUGUGAACAACAAUAACCUCUCCUUUGAUACAUGCCGAAGUUCUCCCUUUCUGGCUACUUGGAUCUACUUCAAGCCCUUUGCCCUGCAAAUACAAAAGAGUAUCACUGGGACCCCACUCUUCAUCCAUCACUACUUAGGUCAAUAGUCACCUCUUUCCUGAAAUUCCCCAACUUCUCCCUGUAGAGCCUGUUAUUUCCUUUCUGCCCUUGUAUAGAUACCUUGGACAAAGUUUUGUUACAGCAUCACACUUUACUGAAAAUACUGCCUACCAUCUUCUGUCCAACCUUCCCCUAGGACAGAGAGCUUUGCCCCAAAGUAUCUAAGCACUGAGCACAGUGCCUUGCCCAGAGAGGUACACAAUGGUCAAAAGUUAUUGUGCUAGCCAGGCUCCAGGCAUAAGAUCAGGGCCAGAUCAGAGGAAAUGACCCAACCUCACAGCCCAUAAAAGCAGAGCUGGAGAGCUGACUCAGUGUUCAAGACAGCACUGUGCAACCACAAAGGCCUAAGAUCAGGCUCGAGCACCCACUAGCAAGCUCAGCACUGUGAGGGGAGAAGACCGUACAGUCGGCUGCUUCAAGAGGCCCAUAGUGAGACUCUGUCUCAAACAAACAAACAAAACAAACAAACAAAGGGGUAAGUCAGAGGGUUAGAGAAAGCUUCCUUCUUUCACCUCCAGGGAUGUGCACAGGAACACACACCCAGACACACACAUGCCGAUAUCACACCACAUUCACACAGACCAAAAAACAAAAAAACAAACGGGCUGGAGAGAUAACUUGGUGGUUAAGAGCACUGACUGCUCUUCCAGAGGUCCUGAGUUCAAUUCCCAGCAACCACAUGAUGGCUCGCAACCAUCUGUAAUGGGAUCUGAUGCCCUCUUCUGGUGUGUCUGAAGACAGCUACAGUACUCACAAACAUCAAAUAAUUCUUUAAAAAACAAACACCACAGGGUGGGGGGAAGUACACUUGUACAUACAUAGCAGUGCAUGAAACUCUUUUAGAUAAGCACCUAAAUUCAUAUGCUUCCAUGAUAAAGGAACCACAGACCACAGACAGGCUCUAAGUAAAACGCAGAUCUUCUGAGAAGGAAUAUUCUUCAAAAGGCUCUAAGGGCACCAAAGCCAUGCACUCUGCUGCAGUAAAGUCCCUAUGAGAUAAGAAGGGGCAGGAAAAGGUCAGGAUGCACACCUCAACUAAUACCCCUCAACAUC
Molecule: long non-coding RNA, 3351 nt
Filed under: Mus pahari (shrew mouse)
Lineage: Eukaryota; Metazoa; Chordata; Mammalia; Rodentia; Muridae
Description: lncRNA (MGP_PahariEiJ_G0002951.1)
Source: RNAcentral